ACCAGACUCCUACGGGAGGCAGCAGUGGGGGAUAUUGCACAAUGGGGGGAACCCUGAUGCAGCGACGCCGCGUGGGUGAAGAAGCGCCUCGGCGCGUAAAGCCCUGUCAGCAGGGAAGAAAAUGACGGUACCUGAAGAAGAAGCCCCGGCUAACUACGUGCCAGCAGCCGCGGUAAUACGUAGGGGGCAAGCGUUAUCCGGAUUUACUGGGUGUAAAGGGGGCGCAGACGGCGAUGCAAGCCAGGGGUGAAAGCCCGGGGCCCAACCCCGGGACUGCCCUUGGAACUGCAUGGCUGGAGUGCGGGAGGGGCAGGCGGAAUUCCUGGUGUAGCGGUGAAAUGCGUAGAUAUCAGGAGGAACACCGGCGGCGAAGGCGGCCUGCUGGACCGUAACUGACGUUGAGGCUCGAAAGCGUGGGGAGCAAACAGGAUUAGAUACCCCUGUACAG
This 448-nucleotide ribosomal RNA is filed under the name uncultured bacterium. RNAcentral describes it as "bacterial SSU rRNA". It matches the Rfam family "Bacterial small subunit ribosomal RNA", at positions 330 to 793 of the family's 1533-position model. The record is from RNAcentral.